GACGAACGCUGGCGGCGUGCUUAACACAUGCAAGUCGAACGGAAAGGCUCCAGCUUGCUGGAGUACUCGAGUGGCGAACGGGUGAGUAACACGUGGGUGAUCUGCCCUGCACUUCGGGAUAAGCCUGGGAAACUGGGUCUAAUUCCGGAUAGGACCGCACUUUGGUGUGUGUGGUGGAAAGGUUUUUCUGGUGUGGGAUGAGCUCGCGGCCUAUCAGUUUGUUGGUGGGGUAAUGGCCUACCAAGACGGCGACGGGUAGCCGGCCUGAGAGGGUGGACGGUCACAUUGGGACUGAGAUACGGCCCAGACUCCUACGGGAGGCAGCAGUGGGGAAUAUUGCACAAUGGGGGAAACCCUGAUGCAGCGACGCCGCGUGGGGGAUGAAGGCCUUCGGGUUGUAAACUCCUUUCGCUAGGGACGAAGCUUUUUGUGACGGUACCUGGAGAAGAAGCACCGGCUAACUACGUG
Molecule: ribosomal RNA, 468 nt
Filed under: uncultured bacterium
Lineage: Bacteria
Description: partial 16S ribosomal RNA
Rfam family: Bacterial small subunit ribosomal RNA
Source: RNAcentral